Labrus mixtus (cuckoo wrasse) is the source of this 342-nucleotide long non-coding RNA. RefSeq lists it as uncharacterized. Lineage: Eukaryota; Metazoa; Chordata; Actinopteri; Labriformes; Labridae. The record is from RefSeq and is a predicted model, not a curated record. The transcript has 2 exons.
UGUGUCAGUGUGUCAGUGUGUCAAUGUGUGUCAGUGUGUGUCAGUGUGUCAGUGUGUUUCAGUGUGUAUCAGUGUGUGUCAGUGUGUCAGUGUGUUUCAUUGUGUUUCAGUGUGUCAGUGUGUGUCUCUCACGCUGCUCUUCACAUCCUUUAGCUUGGGCAGUAUAUCGAGUGAGAAUCCGUCAGCUUGGCCCCUGGUUCGAUUCCCUCCAUUCAUAUAGUUCCCAAAGGCCAGAACCAGACCCAGAAUCUGCUUCACCGUCUCACUGUCCUGCAGUGCCUACACACACACACACACACACACACACACACACACACACACACACACACACACACACACACA